RNAcentral lists this ribosomal RNA (253 nucleotides) under uncultured bacterium. RNAcentral's name for it is "partial 16S ribosomal RNA". It matches the Rfam family "Bacterial small subunit ribosomal RNA", at positions 524 to 776 of the family's 1533-position model. The record is from RNAcentral.
UACAGAGGGUGCGAGCGUUAAUCGGAAUUACUGGGCGUAAAGCGCGCGUAGGCGGCUUUGCAAGUCGGGUGUGAAAUCCCCAGGCUUAACCUGGGAACUGCAUUCGAGACUGCAUUGCUAGAGUAUGGGAGAGGGAAGUGGAAUUUCCGGUGUAGCGGUGAAAUGCGUAGAUAUCGGAAGGAACAUCAGUGGCGAAAGCGGCAUCCUGGACCAUUACUGACACUGAAAAGCGAAAGCCAGGGGAGCAAACGGG